GAGAGGCACGGAACGAUCACUGAAGUGCCGAUUAUAUGCUCUGGUGAUCACUGGAAUGUGCUCUACUUCACAGACUUUUACAAUAAGGUUGUGGACGAUGACAUUCUGAAGAAGAUGAUUCUUGAAGAAUUUCUCGGCCACAAAAUAGACGACCCUCUCAUCCAGCAUCUCAAAGAUCACCACUAGAGGGACAGUACAGCUAGAGGGGAAUAAUGUUUUGGAACUUUUUAUCUUAAAGCAACAGACAUGAA
This is a long non-coding RNA of Bolinopsis microptera, 251 nucleotides long. RefSeq lists it as uncharacterized. The record is from RefSeq and is a predicted model, not a curated record. NCBI's taxonomy places the organism in Eukaryota, Metazoa, Ctenophora, Tentaculata, Lobata, Bolinopsidae. The transcript has 2 exons.